CGGCAGCUGGCCGAGUGGGUCGGCGUGGGCGGUUUCGGCCCGAUCACCGUCGGUUCGGGCGCCGAGGUAGCCGA
Molecule: transfer RNA, 74 nt
Filed under: Glutamicibacter creatinolyticus
Lineage: Bacteria; Bacillati; Actinomycetota; Actinomycetes; Micrococcales; Micrococcaceae
Description: tRNA-Arg
Source: RNAcentral